This 231-nucleotide ribosomal RNA is filed under the name uncultured bacterium. RNAcentral's name for it is "partial 16S ribosomal RNA". It matches the Rfam family "Bacterial small subunit ribosomal RNA", at positions 524 to 754 of the family's 1533-position model. The record is from RNAcentral.
UACGUAGGGGGCAAGCGUUGUCCGGAAUCAUUGGGCGUAAAGGGUGCGUAGGUGGCGCUGUAAGUCGGGUGUGAAAUUUCGGAGCUUAACUCCGAAACUGCAUUCGAUACUGCGGUGCUUGAGGACUGGAGAGGAGACUGGAAUUCAUGGUGUAGCAGUGAAAUGCGUAGAGAUCAUGAGGAAGACCAGUGGCGAAGGCGGGUCUCUGGACAGUUCCUGACACUGAGGCAC